Molecule: long non-coding RNA, 696 nt
Filed under: Homo sapiens (human)
Lineage: Eukaryota; Metazoa; Chordata; Mammalia; Primates; Hominidae
Description: HSALNT0297957
Source: RNAcentral
CGCUGGCACCGCUUUAGCGUCCGGGGGCCGCUUAUAUCUUUUCUCUGAGACACGCCUCCUGGGCUCUCCGGCCCAGGCCAGCGCGGUUAUAAGUCAGAAGGGUCUGCUGAAAUGUGAUGAGGAAAACUAGAAGAAAAGUCCAGGCCCUGAGAGUGAAUACCAGACAGAAGCUGGGGGUGGAAGAGUAUCAAUAUGCAAUAUGCAGACUGAUUUGCCGAGGAGGAUUCAGAUAGGAGAUUCAGACUCCCAGAACAACUAAAAGGAUAACAGGCACUGUCAAAGAUCUAGACAGAAGGGCCAGAAAAGCAGCAGUUGGAACACACAGAGGGACUGUUGCUGGACCCUGGGUACCUGGCUGAAGACUUUGGACUUUAACCUGGAGAUGAUGGAGAGUAUGCAGGAUAAAGUCCAUACCAAAUCCAACGCCUAGCAAAUGGAGAACAAGCCAAAACUAACAAGAUAAAAUGUAGCAGGAAAAAGUGCAAAGAGCUGAAGUGUGGAAUAAGUGGGAGAGGUCUGCCAUGCCCUAUCUGACCUUGCUGCCAUGAUCUUUAAGGCUGUGUGUCCUGGUUGGUGCAGCUACAAGAUGGCAGAAAUGCCUAAGUGAUGGUAUGGAACAGAGGAUCCCUCUUCUCACCAUUGUCUUGCAUGUUUCCUUGUGUGAACCACAAAUAAACUUUUGUUAUGUUAAGCUGC